This 524-nucleotide ribosomal RNA is filed under the name uncultured Enterobacter sp. Its description in RNAcentral is "bacterial SSU rRNA". It matches the Rfam family "Bacterial small subunit ribosomal RNA", at positions 505 to 1028 of the family's 1533-position model. Lineage: Bacteria; Pseudomonadati; Pseudomonadota; Gammaproteobacteria; Enterobacterales; Enterobacteriaceae. The record is from RNAcentral.
GUGCCAGCAGCAGCGGUAAUACGGAGGGUGCAAGCGUUAAUCGGAAUUACUGGGCGUAAAGCGCACGCAGGCGGUCUGUCAAGUCGGAUGUGAAAUCCCCGGACUCAACCUGGGAACUGCAUUCGAAACUGGCAGGCUAGAGUCUUGUAGAGGGGGGUAGAAUUCCAGGUGUAGCGGUGAAAUGCGUAGAGAUCUGGAGGAAUACCGGUGGCGAAGGCGGCCCCCUGGACAAAGACUGACGCUCAGGUGCGAAAGCGUGGGGAGCAAACAGGAUUAGAUACCCUGGUAGUCCACGCCGUAAACGAUGUCGACUUGGAGGUUGUGCCCUUGAGGCGUGGCUUCCGGAGCUAACGCGUUAAGUCGACCGCCUGGGGAGUACGGCCGCAAGGUUAAAACUCAAAUGAAUUGACGGGGGCCCGCACAAGCGGUGGAGCAUGUGGUUUAAUUCGAUGCAACGCGAAGAACCUUACCUACUCUUGACAUCCAGAGAACUUAGCAGAGAUGCUUUGGUGCCUUCGGGAACU